This 566-nucleotide long non-coding RNA is filed under the name Oryza sativa (Asian cultivated rice). RNAcentral's name for it is "long non-coding RNA (OSAT_LNC000747)". Lineage: Eukaryota; Viridiplantae; Streptophyta; Magnoliopsida; Poales; Poaceae. The record is from RNAcentral.
GCAGGAGCCCAAUGGACAGGAAUAGUGACAACGAUUGCGGUUGAGAUGCUAAAGGCAAAUAUGGUUGAUGCUGUGGUUUGUGUACAAAGGCACCUAAACAACAAUCAAAUAUUACAUAAUUGCUUUCCGUUGCAAAAGGAUUUUUUUCAUGGUCUUGAGAAAACUGUUGUUUGUCUCCUCUGCAGUGACCCAGAUGACAGGCUUGCUCCAAUGCCUGUUUUAGCCAGGUAGGUACUAAGACAAUGGUUGCUUGCUACUUCAGAUUUUUUUUUUUUUCAUAUGGCUUGUGCUUACAACUUCUUACUUAAAGUACAUUUGCAUUUUACACUUAUAUGGUUUUAUGGUCCAUGAGGAGGUAACAUGAGAUACCACAUUUUGUAGUAUAAAUUUUGGCACUUCCCAAUAUCUGUGAUAGAAGAUGAGGUACCUCUCGGUAUCUCCUCAAGGACCAUAGAAUCACUCAAAAGUAAAAACCUUGCUUCCAGUCUACUGAUUAACUACUUGUGCUGCUCAUGCUUGCUAGAAUUGAAGCAAAAUUUGAUUGAUCAACUAUUAUCUCGUAGGAC